This 315-nucleotide ribosomal RNA is filed under the name uncultured eukaryote. RNAcentral's name for it is "partial 18S ribosomal RNA". It matches the Rfam family "Eukaryotic small subunit ribosomal RNA", at positions 1470 to 1796 of the family's 1831-position model. The record is from RNAcentral.
CCCUUAGACGUUCUGGGCCGCACGCGCGCUACACUGACCGGUGCAACAAGCAUCCGUCCUUGGCCGACAGGCCCGGGCAAUCUUUGAACGCUGGUCGUGAUGGGGAUAGACUUUUGCAAUUUUUGGUCUUCAACGAGGAAUUCCUAGUAAACGCAAGUCAUCAACUUGCAUUGAUUACGUCCCUGCCCUUUGUACACACCGCCCGUCGCACCUACCGAUUGAAUGGUCCGGUGAAGCCUCCGGAUUGGCGCGCACCUCGGUGCCGCCGAGAAGUUGGCUAAACCUUACCAUUUAGAGGAAGGUGAAGUCGUANCA